CUCUCCUGCCUCUGCCAGGAGAGAGCUUGUUCCUCCAACCCCAGGAGGCCAGGCAAGCAUGGACAGGAGCCAAGGGAGCAGGGUCAUGAACUUUUUCAUCUUUGCAAAGUGGGCACUUGGCAUCAGGGUCCCAUCACCAGAAAGCACCAAAGCCCCUGGCACCCCACCCACUCCAUCCUACCCAGGGACCCCAAGUAGGCAACUGCUAUGGCAGUGGGUCCAGCCCAGGCCGGCACUGCCAGCCUCCUCUCCCUGCAGUAGGCACCAGCUCUACCUCCCCCGGCAGGCAAUGUCCUGGCUUCUCAGCCCAGCACCAUCUGUUCCCCUAGACUUCUCAGGGGCCAGCCCAGUCUGGGCCACCCUUUCCCUCAUCCUCGGCUCCCACACAGGUGACAGGCCCAGCAGAUAGCUUCUCUCUGGGAAAGGUUGGAUGCUGCCUUACAUCCCCUUCUAUCCCUCCUCCCAUCCACACACACAGGCACCCACCCACACCAGGUCUGCUUGUUUCUCACAUGUAGGGAGAGGGGGGGAGACCAACCCCUUUGUGUCUUUUGAAAUACGAAGAAAAAUGUGUGUUCAGGAGCAUGACUCCAGUGCUGGGCUCUUGGGCCCAGUUCAGUCUGUCUUGUCUCAAAUCUAGGCACUUUUGCUUCAAUUUUAUUUUUUUUAAGAAAACAAAAACAGAAAUCUGCACUAAUUUACCUGGUUCUUAGGAAAACUUUUUUUUAUUUUUUACAUUUUUUGGUGUCCGUUUGUAUUGAAUAAUUUGCUACAUUUGUAAAAUGUAAGAGGUAUAUAUAAUAUAUGUAUAUUUCUAACGUAAAAACAAUUUUUUUCUUUUCAAGAUUUUUUCUUAAAAAGAUGAGAGAAACAUAUUUUUUCAGGAAAAACAAACUUUAAAAAAAAAAGAGGAGAAAUAAAACCUUUUCUCCCCUUUCCCCAUCCUCUAUCUAUCCCUGUUUCCCAGGAACAAAUCAAAAGGUGGAUUAUCUUCUGAAGAAUGGAAACUGUUAGUCCAGAAUGAUGUCUUUUUCUCAAUGCAGUGAGUUAUAGAUUCUCUAGUUUUCUCCCUAGGGAUGGGAAGGGGGCAUUGACGCAAGCCUGGAGAGGAGCCCGGGGAGCAGGGUCAUGAAGUUUUUUCUUCAGUGAAGGAGGAAUACAAUCAAGGGUUUUGUAUUCAGAAUGUUGUGCAAUAUUUUGGAAUAGGACAUUGGUGUGUUUAGAGAUUUUAGUUUAAAAACAAAACAAAAAGAUUGAUCAAAUCUGUACAGUUUCUAUUGUUCCAGAUUUUUUAAAGUUUGUAUUAAAAGCAUGAUACAUAAUAAAAA
Molecule: long non-coding RNA, 1328 nt
Filed under: Homo sapiens (human)
Lineage: Eukaryota; Metazoa; Chordata; Mammalia; Primates; Hominidae
Description: non-protein coding lnc-ZNF835-1:1
Source: RNAcentral